RNAcentral lists this ribosomal RNA (497 nucleotides) under uncultured bacterium. RNAcentral describes it as "partial 16S ribosomal RNA". It matches the Rfam family "Bacterial small subunit ribosomal RNA", at positions 28 to 507 of the family's 1533-position model. The record is from RNAcentral.
GAUGAACGCUGGCGGCGUGCCUAAUACAUGCAAGUCGAGCGAACAGACGAGGAGCUUGCUCCUCUGACGUUAGCGGCGGACGGGUGAGUAACACGUGGAUAACCUACCUAUAAGACUGGGAUAACUUCGGGAAACCGGAGCUAAUACCGGAUAAUAUAUUGAACCGCAUGGUUCAAUAGUGAAAGACGGUUUUGCUGUCACUUAUAGAUGGAUCCGCGCCGCAUUAGCUAGUUGGUAAGGUAACGGCUUACCAAGGCGACGAUGCGUAGCCGACCUGAGAGGGUGAUAGGCCACACUGGAACUGAGACACGGUACAGACUCCUACGGGAGGCAGCAGUAGGGAAUCUUCCGCAAUGGGCGAAAGCCUGACGGAGCAACGCCGCGUGAGUGAUGAAGGUCUUCGGAUCGUAAAACUCUGUUAUUAGGGAAGAACAAAUGUGUAAGUAACUAUGCACGUCUUGACGGUACCUAAUCAGAAAGCCACGGCUAACUACGUG